RNAcentral lists this long non-coding RNA (253 nucleotides) under Brassica napus (rape). RNAcentral describes it as "long non-coding RNA (BNAP_LNC020658)". The record is from RNAcentral. Lineage: Eukaryota; Viridiplantae; Streptophyta; Magnoliopsida; Brassicales; Brassicaceae.
CGGAUCAAGCUCUAGUUUUAUAUUUAUCAGUAAAUGUAUUUUAUUGGUAAGAUUAGAAGACUGCAUUGCCGACAAGGAGGUUUCUUAUAACAAUAGCAGGCAUGUUGACUUUAGUUUUUCCGACAAGGAGGUUUAAUAUAACAAGUGCAGUCAUGAUAGUGUUUCUUUCGAAAAAUGGUGUUCACACAGUCGCAACGCUCGAAUGUUACUAUUGACACCUUCCUUUCAUCCUGACACUUCUUGUUUCCAUCAG